UGCCGCGUGUGUGAAGAAGGCCUUCGGGUUGUAAAGCACUUUCAGUCGUGAGGAAGGUGGURKWGUUAAUAGCWSYAUYACUUGACGUUAGCGACAGAAGAAGCACCGGCUAACUCCGUGCCAGCAGCCGCGGUAAUACGGAGGGUGCGAGCGUUAAUCGGAAUUACUGGGCGUAAAGCGCAUGCAGGUGGUUUGUUAAGUCAGAUGUGAAAGCCCGGGGCUCAACCUCGGAAUAGCAUUUGAAACUGGCAGACUAGAGUACUGUAGAGGGGGGUAGAAUUUCAGGUGUAGCGGUGAAAUGCGUAGAGAUCUGAAGGAAUACCGGUGGCGAAGGCGGCCCCCUGGACAGAUACUGACACUCAGAUGCGAAAGCGUGGGGAGCAAACAGGAUUAGAUACCCUGGUAGUCCACGCCGUAAACGAUGUCUACUUGGAGGUUGUGGCCUUGAGCCGUGGCUUUYGGAGCUAACGCGUUAAGUAGACCGCCUGGGGAGUACGGUCGCAAGAUUAAAACUCAAAUGAAUUGACGGGGGCCCGCACAAGCGGUGGAGCAUGUGGUWWWAUUGSGAUGCAACGCGAAGAACCUUACCUACUCUUGACAUCCAGAGAACU
RNAcentral lists this ribosomal RNA (611 nucleotides) under Vibrio sp. Its description in RNAcentral is "bacterial SSU rRNA". It matches the Rfam family "Bacterial small subunit ribosomal RNA", at positions 395 to 997 of the family's 1533-position model. The record is from RNAcentral. Lineage: Bacteria; Pseudomonadati; Pseudomonadota; Gammaproteobacteria; Vibrionales; Vibrionaceae.